This 171-nucleotide unclassified non-coding RNA is filed under the name uncultured Hygrophoraceae. RNAcentral's name for it is "sequence contains ITS1". Lineage: Eukaryota; Fungi; Basidiomycota; Agaricomycetes; Agaricales; Hygrophoraceae. The record is from RNAcentral.
UUGAAUUUUGAAAAACAGGUUGUAGCUGAUCAUAAUAGAUAUGUGCACGCCUUGUUUCCAAAUAUCACACCAUGUGCACCUUUUGUAGGCCAAGAAAUUGGUCUAUGUAUUUUUAAUACACUCCAAAAGUAUAGAAUGUUAUUAUCAAUAAGCUUUGCUUAAAUUUAUAUA